RNAcentral lists this long non-coding RNA (3914 nucleotides) under Sus scrofa (pig). Its description in RNAcentral is "lncRNA (ENSSSCG00025046023.1)". Lineage: Eukaryota; Metazoa; Chordata; Mammalia; Artiodactyla; Suidae. The record is from RNAcentral.
AACAUGUCUUCUUUCCACUGUAUACUGGAAUCAAAUAAAACAGUAUCUGUAAAUCAUCUAGGUGGGCAAUCAGACUUGCUCAAUUAAUGUUAAUUCCAUGUCAGUUGAAACAACAACAAUAAAGGAGACCAAACAUGAAGACUGGUAACCACCUGCUCCUGAGGUAUUGGUUUUAACCCAUUUUUUGUUUUGUUUUGUUUUGUUUUUUUAGAACAGGAAGGAAAUAAACAAAUGGAUACCUAGUGGGGAGUAACAGUGCUUCACUGAUGCAUGAGCUCCACAAACCUUCUUUGGGAUGGGGAUGCAAAGGAGAAGAGGACUCUGCUACUGUGUGGAGGACUGCAUUGCCUGCCCAGCCUUCUGAUGCACCAGGGCACUUACUGGAGUUCACGCGCAUGAUUAUGAACUUACAAGGAGCAAGACAUUUUAAAACGGCAGAAUCCAGCUUCCCAGCCAAGGAAGGGACGUAUGGCAUCUCCCUGAGUGCCGGGACUGCACUGUCCGAGGCUUAAUUUUUUCUCAAUCCAAUUGUUUCUGUUACUUCCUGCCUCCAUUUCAGCUUCUCCUUGAAGCUCCCAGAAACUGUGGAAAUAGAGGUCCUGAAUGUAAGAUACUUCGAUCACUUCUCCUUCCUGUGAAUCUCUACACAGUGGACAAUACCCAGAGGUGUGAUUGUCUCCAUUUUAAGGAUAAACCUAGAGCUCAGAGAGGCUAACUUAUUGCUCAUGAUCACAUAGCAAGUGAGAGCAGAACUGGAGUAGAGCCCAUGGCUCUCCUCCUUCCAGCCUAAGCUUCAGCUCCAGGGCAGUAACCUCACUGGACAGCCAUUGUCUGUAUUUGCUGUUUCCUUCACUGGACCAUUAGUUCCCUAGGAGAAGGAAUCCUGGUCUUUAUCUUUGCAUUCCCAGGCUUGGCUCAGUGUCCAGAAACAUGGGAGAUACUCAGUGGAUGCUUUUUCAAAGGAUGAAGAGUGGAUAUGAAGCCAGAAGCUCUACCGAGUGUUUUUUUUAUUUGUUUUGUUUUGUUGUUGUUUUUUUUUUACAUACAUAAUCCUUGAUUUUCUAAACACCCCGAGAGGCAGCUGUUGUCCUCAUUUCCUAGCUGGGACCAUUAAGGCUCAGAGAAGUUAAGUGACUUGCCUAGAUUCACAGAGCUCGCAGGUGGCUGAGAUGAAACUCAGACCCAUGUAGUCUGCCUGUAGAACCCACACUGCCUCUCGGCACAGAUGGGAUGAACAGUCUGGAUAGGCAGGACAGUGGGCAGAGGGACUGUGGGGCCUCCCUUCCUGCUGAGUUUGGAGUGGUCUCUGUCCAAGGGAAGCUGCAGUGGGUGACUGAGCUUCCUAAGCAGGAAGCAGUUCUCAGCCCCUCUGCCCUCCUUUCAGUCACAAACUUACAAGCACACAUUUGUUGAAUGACUGAAUGACCAGCCCUGCUGAUGACUCUGCAGUUUAUUUACCCCUAGAACUGGACUUUCGCCUGCUCAUUCUUCAUCAACUUUGGGGACUGUUCUUUUCUGCCUAACCUCAGAUUGUGGGAUUCCUUGAAAUGCUCCCUGAACUCUCUUCUCAUUGCUACACCUUUUCUGGAGGGCCACAUUUCUAGGGAUGGCUUCAAUUACCCUUUAUGUGCAGGUAGCUCUCCCACAUGUCCAGCUCAGACCUCCCUGCUGAAUUCCUACCUUCAUAGUUUUCUACCUGAAUAUCCAGGAGUUAGCUCAUCUCUAUACUUCAAAAGCAUUUACAUCAUUUCCUUCCCAUCUCAGACAGAAGGACUGGAGCCAUCAGUCGCCUGGCUGCCCAAGCCACAGACUCAGGCUCGUCCUUGACAGUACCCACCCCCAACACUUUCCCACAUCUAAUUUCUCCUUGAAUAAUCUCCAAGAUCUGGUGCCAGCCUUGUUUAUCCUCUGGAUUCCUCAGUAACUUCCCAGAUGAUUCCAUGAGCUCCAGUCUCCUCCUGUACAUCCACUCCAUCCAGUCUCCAUAGAGGAAUAGGAAAAAUCUUCUAAGUCACAUAUCAUUGUGACAUCCUAGAACCCUAGGAUUGAGUCUCCACUGCCACCUUCUUUCAUCUCAGCAUUCUGCCUCCUGCCAGCCACCAAGCAUUCACCACUACCGAAGGGAUCAUGAGGCCUCUGGACAUGCCAUUCCCUGGGCUGGGAUUCUCUUCCUUUACUUCUGCACCUGCCAAGCCGUCAUUAAGCCUUCAAGACCCAGCCUUGACUCUCUCCCUUCCUAAAAGUCAUUCCUGAUCUUAAAGGCUGAGCAAGGGCUUCCUCUUUGGGCAUCCCCCCACCACCCCUGCCUCCCUCUUUGAUAAUAGCCUCCAUGUCUGGGCUGUGGGGUCUGCCCAGGAUGGGGACAACGUGUGAUGUAUUGAUGGCCCCGGUGCUUAACACAGGGAGGAUCCAUGAAUGUCCAUCAAUCAAAUCUGAACCCUGGACCAUUGGAAGAAAAACAUAGCCUCUUCCCUUUGCCUCUUGGCUUUAACCAGCUGUGUUAUGAUCCUGUCACCUCCCACCCCUGUACCCAGUUGUCUCAUUUGCCUUGUUCUGACAUAGGAACCCCUGCCUUGGCACAUCCCUCCUGCCCCAGUUCAUGGUGAUCACCUCUUCCCUGAGGCCCUCCAGGACUAUACCAGCACCCAAGGUCCCCCAGGGUCCCAUUUCAAGGCCCUGGGAUAAUUCUCCAUGAACAGUUCUUCCCUCAGCCACACUGGGGGCCUCAAAUUCAUUUCUUAGGACAUAAGAAAUUUCACUGAAAGGUUAAAAAUAAAUAUUAGAUAUGAAAUUCCUUGGAGAGAAAGAACAUUUAGGCUAAGUUCACACUAAGGUGUAAAUGGCCAGCAUAGCAUAUUGACCUGGGCAUAGUUGUGGACAGGUGGGAGAGAGUCAGGGGCUCCGGCUGUGUACAAAGGGACAAGAACCAUGGGAUAGGGAAGGGACACUGUCAGGCUGCCUGGCCUCCACCAUACACGUCUUACCUGCAUCACUUACCAGUGUGUGUGUGGGUCCAUCCUCUAGAACAACAAGAGAAGCUGAACAGUUGGCUUCUUGGUCCCAUAAUGUCAGCAAGGAGCUAGACACACAGUGGGUGCCCAAUAAAUGCCCAUGGCUGUCUUGUCAGCCCAGAGCUUAGCUGACUGCCUGCCCCUGCUAGGGGCAUUGCCAUGAGCCACCUCCUGUGGGAGAUGGAGAGUGUUUGCAGCAGGACAGGGUGGGGGUGGGGGGAAUCCUUCCUGGUUUCUCUUGAGGCUCUGACGAGCUUCUUUCCCAUGACCUCCCUGCCCUUCCGGCAGGCACACUAAUAGUCUAUAGGAGGAAGUCCCUAGGCAGCAAGGGAACAGAAGUUUGAAAGUCAGAGCCUCACUGGGAACUGUGAUUUGCUAGAUGGUCUGAGGCAUCUUCUCCUCGGCCUCCAGCAUCCCUGGUGCCUUAUACUCAUGAAACAAAUGUUUAUGUAUAUGCCGAGCACCUACCUAGGUGCUGGGAUUCAGCAGUAAACAGACCAAAAUCUCUACCUAUACUGAGCUUAUAGUCUAGUCAUUUUGGAUGGGGUGGGGGAGGCAGAAAUAAAGAACAAAAAGGUCAAAUAUAAUAAUGUAUUAGAUAGUCAUAAGCAUUAAGAAAAAAAAAAUAAAGCCAGGAAAGGAGGUAGGAAAUAUCUCGUGGGAUGGAAGGCAAAUAGGAAUUUUAGACAGGGGCUGGGGGUCGAGGGGCCUCAGAGAGAAGGUAAUUUUAAAAAUUUUUUUGGUUUUGUUGAGGUAAAGUAUACCCACUAUGAAAUUUUAGCCAUUUUAACUGUACAGCUCAGUGGCGUUCAGUACAUUCAUAUUAUUGUACAACCACCACCACCAUCUCUAGAACCUUUUCCUCACCCCAUAUUGAAACUCUGGACCCAUUAAACAUUAACU